Molecule: ribosomal RNA, 449 nt
Filed under: uncultured bacterium
Lineage: Bacteria
Description: partial 16S ribosomal RNA
Rfam family: Bacterial small subunit ribosomal RNA
Source: RNAcentral
AACGAACGCUGGCGGCAUGCCUAACACAUGCAAGUCGAACGAGACCUUCGGGUCUAGUGGCGCACGGGUGCGUAACGCGUGGGAAUCUGCCCUUGGGUUCGGAAUAACUCAGAGAAAUUUGAGCUAAUACCGGAUGAUGACGUAAGUCCAAAGAUUUAUCGCCCAAGGAUGAGCCCGCGUAAGAUUAGCUUGUUGGUGAGGUAAAAGCUCACCAAGGCGACGAUCUUUAGCUGGUCUGAGAGGAUGAUCAGCCACACUGGGACUGAGACACGGCCCAGACUCCUAGGGGAGGCAGCAGUGGGGAAUAUUGGAAAAUGGGCGAAAGCCUGAUCCAGCAAUGCCGCGUGAGUGAUGAAGGCCUUAGGGUUGUAAAGCUCUUUUCCCCGGGAUGAUAAUGACAGUACCGGGAGAAUAAGCCCCGGCUAACUCCGUGCCAGCCGCCGCAGUAA